RNAcentral lists this ribosomal RNA (603 nucleotides) under uncultured Verrucomicrobiota bacterium. RNAcentral describes it as "bacterial SSU rRNA". It matches the Rfam family "Bacterial small subunit ribosomal RNA", at positions 37 to 618 of the family's 1533-position model. The record is from RNAcentral. Lineage: Bacteria; Pseudomonadati; Verrucomicrobiota.
UGGCGGCGUGGUUAAGACAUGCAAGUCGAACGGGACUUUCCGUUGUAGCAAUACGAUGGAAAGUCUAGUGGCGAACGGGUGCUUAACACGUGGGCAACCUGCCAUGAAGUGGGGGAUAGCUCGCCGAAAGGCGAAUUAAUACCGCAUGUGAUUAGAGAGGACAUCCUUUCGAAAUUAAAGUCGGGGCAACCUGACGCUUCUUGUGGGGCCCGCGGCCUAUCAGCUAGUUGGUGAGGUAACGGCUCACCAAGGCUUUGACGGGUAGCUGGUCUGAGAGGACGACCAGCCACACUGGGACUGAGACACGGCCCAGACACCUACGGGUGGCAGCAGUCGAGAAUUUUUGACAAUGGGGGAAACCCUGAUCGAGCGACGCCGCGUGGAGGAUGAAGGUCUUCGGAUUGUAAACUCCUGUCAUUGGGGAACAAUGCACAGAUAUUAACUGUAUUUGUGUUGAUAGUACCCGAAGAGGAAGAGACGGCUAACUCUGUGCCAGCAGCCGCGGUAAUACAGAGGUCUCAAGCGUUGUUCGGAUUCAUUGGGCGUAAAGGGUGCGUAGGCGGCGCGGUAAGUCGGGUGUGAAAUCUCGGAGCUUAACUCCGA